GAAAUGCGAUAAGUAAUGUGAAUUGCAGAAUUCAGUGAAUCAUCGAAUCUUUGAACGCACCUUGCGCUCCUUGGUAUUCCUUGGAGCAUGCCUGUUUGAGUAUCAUGAAAUCUUCAAAGUAAAUCUUUUGUUAACUCAAUUGGUUUCUACUUUGGUAUUGGAGGUCUUUGCAGCUUCACACCUGCUUCUCUUUGUUCAUUAGCUGGAUCUCAGUGUUAUGCUUGGUUCCACUCGGCGUGAUAAGUUAUCUAUCGCUGAGGACACUGUAAAAGGUGGCCAAGGUAAAUGCAGAUGAACCGCUUCUAAUAGUCCAUUGACUUGGACAAUACUUUUAUUAUCUGAUCUCAAAUCAGGUAGGACUACCCGCUGAACUUAAGC
RNAcentral lists this unclassified non-coding RNA (378 nucleotides) under plant metagenome. RNAcentral's name for it is "partial contains 5.8S ribosomal RNA, internal transcribed spacer 2, and large subunit ribosomal RNA". The stretch from base 1 to 105 matches the Rfam family "5.8S ribosomal RNA", at positions 50 to 154 of the family's 154-position model. The record is from RNAcentral.